This is a small nuclear RNA of Peromyscus leucopus (white-footed mouse), 103 nucleotides long. The record is from RefSeq and is a predicted model, not a curated record. NCBI's taxonomy places the organism in Eukaryota, Metazoa, Chordata, Mammalia, Rodentia, Cricetidae.
GUGCUCGCUUUGGCAGCACACACACUAAAAUUGGAAUGAUACAGAGAGGAGCAUGGCCCUGUGCACAGAUGACAUGGAAAUUCAUGAAGGAACUUCUUCUCUA